RNAcentral lists this ribosomal RNA (345 nucleotides) under uncultured bacterium. RNAcentral's name for it is "partial 16S ribosomal RNA". It matches the Rfam family "Bacterial small subunit ribosomal RNA", at positions 917 to 1269 of the family's 1533-position model. The record is from RNAcentral.
GGGCCCGCACAAGCGGUGGAGCAUGUGGUUUAAUUCGAUGCAACGCGAAGAACCUUACCAGGGUUUGACAUAGUACGAAGUUUUUUGAAAAAAAAGCCACCUUCGGGAACGUACAUACAGGUGGUGCAUGGCUGUCGUCAGCUCGUGUCGUGAGAUGUUGGGUUAAGUCCCGCAACGAGCGUAACCCUUGUUUUUAGUUGCCUUUCCGAGGAUAUUUAGAAAGACUGCCGAUUAUAAAUCGGAGGAAGGUAAGGACGACGUCAAGUCAUCAUGCCCCUUACACUCUGGGCUACACACGUGCUACAUUGGGCGAGACAAUGAGAUGCAAAUCUGCAAAGACUAGCU